Molecule: ribosomal RNA, 1282 nt
Filed under: metagenome
Description: bacterial SSU rRNA
Rfam family: Bacterial small subunit ribosomal RNA
Source: RNAcentral
CGGGUGAGUAACGCGUGGAUAACCUGCCCAGAGGUGGGGGAUAGCUCGGGGAAACCCGGAUUAAUACCGCAUAAUACCGAGAGGUCAAAGGGGGCUCGCAAGGGCUCCCGCCAUUGGAGGGGUCCGCGUCCGAUUAGCUAGUUGGUGGGGUAAUGGCCUACCAAGGCGACGAUCGGUAGCCGGCCUGAGAGGGUGAUCGGCCACACUGGAACUGAGACACGGUCCAGACUCCUACGGGAGGCAGCAGUGGGGAAUUUUGCGCAAUGGGGGAAACCCUGACGCAGCAACGCCGCGUGGAGGAUGAAGGUCCUUGGAUUGUAAACUCCUGUCAGCGGGGAAAAAGCAACCCGACCUCAUACGUCGGGAAGUUGAUUGUACCCGCAGAGGAAGCCCCGGCUAACUCUGUGCCAGCAGCCGCGGUAAUACAGAGGGGGCAAGCGUUAUUCGGAAUUAUUGGGCGUAAAGGGCGCGUAGGCGGCAUGGCAAGUGGAAGGUGAAAUCCCUCGGCUUAACCGAGGAACUGCCCUCCAAACUGCUUUGCUUGAGGCCGGGAGAGGCGAGUGGAAUUCCCAGUGUAGCGGUGAAAUGCGUAGAUAUUGGGAGGAACACCAGUGGCGAAGGCGGCUCGCUGGACCGGUUCUGACUCUGAUGCGCGAAAGCGUGGGGAGCAAACGGGAUUAGAUACCCCGGUAGUCCACGCCGUAAACGAUGAGUGCUUGGUGUAGCGGGUAUCGACUCCUGCUGUGCCGAAGUCAACACAUUAAGCACUCCGCCUGGGGAGUACGGUCGCAAGGCUGAAACUCAAAGGAAUUGACGGGGGCCCGCACAAUCGGUGGAGCAUGUGGUUUAAUUCGAAGCAACGCGAAGAACCUUACCUGGGUUUGAAAUGUAGGUGUAAGCCUCAGAGAUGAGGUCCCCUCUUCGGAGGCACCUGCAUAGGUGCUGCAUGGCUGUCGUCAGCUCGUGUCGUGAGAUGUUGGGUUAAGUCCCGCAACGAGCGCAACCCUUGUCCAUAGUUGCUAACGGGUAAUGCCGAGAACUCUAUGGAGACUGCCGGUGAUAAACCGGAGGAAGGUGGGGAUGACGUCAAGUCCUCAUGGCCUUUAUGUCCAGGGAUACACACGUGCUACAAUGGACGGUACAAAGAGUUGCGAAGCCGCGAGGCAGAGCUAAUCUCAAAAAGCCGUUCUCAGUUCGGAUUGCAGUCUGCAACUCGACUGCAUGAAGCUGGAAUCGCUAGUAAUCGCGGAUCAGCACGCCGCGGUGAAUACGUUCCCGGGCC